This 443-nucleotide ribosomal RNA is filed under the name uncultured bacterium. Its description in RNAcentral is "partial 16S ribosomal RNA". It matches the Rfam family "Bacterial small subunit ribosomal RNA", at positions 338 to 795 of the family's 1533-position model. The record is from RNAcentral.
CCUACGGGCGGCAGCAGUGGGGAAUAUUGCACAAUGGGGGAAACCCUGAUGCAGCAACGCCGCGUGAAGGAAGACGGUCUUCGGAUUGUAAACCUCUAUCAAUAGGGAAGAAAGAAAUGACGGUACCUAAAUAAGAAGUUGCGGCUAACUACGUGCCAGCAGCCGCGGUAAUACGUAGGGGGCAAGCGUUAUCCGGAAUUACUGGGUGUAAAGGGAGAGUAGGCGGCAAGGUAAGCGAUAUGUGAAAGCCUUAAGCUUAACUUAAGGAUGGCAUAACGAACUAGCUAGCUAGAGUACAGGAGAGGAGAGCGGAAUUCCUGGUGUAGCAGUGAAAUGCGUAGAUAUUAGGAAGAACACCAGUGGCGAAGGCGACUUUCUGGACUAAAACUGACGCUGAGGCUCGAAAGCGUGGGGAGCGAACAGGAUUAGAUACCCUAGUAGUC